Molecule: long non-coding RNA, 1048 nt
Filed under: Sorghum bicolor (sorghum)
Lineage: Eukaryota; Viridiplantae; Streptophyta; Magnoliopsida; Poales; Poaceae
Description: long non-coding RNA (SBIC_LNC002620)
Source: RNAcentral
GGUGCAUAUUGAUCCUUUUCUAUGUUUAGUUGAUGGUUAAAUUUAGUACUUAAGGACCGUCAACAAACUCCCCCAAGCUUACCUUUUGCUCGUCCCUGAGCAAACAACUAAACUCAGAUGGAUCAGGAGUUGCUUCGAUGUUUUUUUUCCUGACAGGCACACAUGCUUUCACAUAAAAAUUCUUCCAGAUUAGAGUGAAGUGUCAAGGGGCUUAGUACAUGCACUUGAGUCUUAAGUAAUCGAAAGACAAAAUAAUUAAGUCAAGCACUAUUCUGGGGUUUUGCAUAAGUUUUCAAAAAUAAAGCUCAGAGUUCCCAGCUAUGAUUCUCUCAUACAUAUGUUGUCUAAUCGAGCCAUGGAUCCAAAGGAACUCAGCAUAUAAUUAAAUCAAGAUCUGCAUGUGUGGUGGAGUAAAUGAUAGUGAUGGUAAAAAUGUAUAAGUGAUGAUAAAACUUACUUCUCAUUGCUCCUCAUAUUGCUAUCUCUCCUCCACUCUUGAUCUUUGCCUUGGGAGAACAUGGGCUAUUUUUUCAGGUAGGUAGUAAAUACCCCCUAAUUCCACUGUCGGACACUUGUCCAUUUUUCCUCUCCGGUGGGCAUCUUUGUACCCCUAAUUAUACUCUGGACACUUGUCUAUUUUUACCUCUCGUCUCACUCUUUUUUUCUUUCUUUUUUGAGGUUCCGGGCACUUGCCCCUUUUUAUUUCCUCGCAUAUUUUUGCAUAACCGUGUCUCUUCUGCAUUGAAUCUUUUUAGAGAGAGAGAAUAACAAUACUUGGGACAGUGAGUGAUAAUAUUUUUAGCAAUUUUUAUGAAUGGUGGUGGAUGGUGUAGUAGAUGUGUGCAAGUGAAUAUCUUAAUUUAACCACAUGAAAAGCUCCUAAGGGUCUACAUAGCUCGAUCAAACUCAAUGUGAAUAUAGUAAAAGAUAUUAUAGCAAGCAUGGCUAUGGUAGGAAUUUUGUCAUGCUAGGAACUCAUCAUGUGAUUUGCAAGUUUUCAAAAUAAAUCUCCAGAACUUAGUGUAGUAGGAACAAGAAUAACAGUAGC